GCCUUUCCAAGACAACUCGUUCCUCAAGAGCGCUUGGUGGAGGGCUAUAUUCGAGAUACCAAAUGCAAUGAUUUGGUCAUUAAAGAGAAACUCGAGCGCCUAUGUAAGACAAAUUAAAUUUAUUAAUGUGUGAUAAUUGUUUAUAUGGAACCAAGAAAAGAACGCUUUGGCGUGAAUUACUUUGUAGCUACACACUUGAAAGGAGUGUAGAAUUCGACGAACACAAAAUUUUCAAACAAUUUUAUAAGAAAUUGUUCAUUUGAUAUUUUUUGCAUUAUUUUAAUGUUGCAUUCUCCAGGCAAAACUACUACUGUGAAAACCAGAUAUACAGUCAUGUCGAAAGAAAUCUUAGAAGAAUACCCUGAACUCGCUACAGAAGGCUCUCCAACAAUUAAACAAAGACUUGAAAUAACGAAUGCUGCGGUAGUCGAGAUGGCAAAGGAAGCAAGCAUCAUUUGCCU
Molecule: long non-coding RNA, 461 nt
Filed under: Olea europaea (common olive)
Lineage: Eukaryota; Viridiplantae; Streptophyta; Magnoliopsida; Lamiales; Oleaceae
Description: long non-coding RNA (OEUR_LNC001090)
Source: RNAcentral